Small nucleolar RNA from Grammomys surdaster, 142 nucleotides. RefSeq annotates it as small nucleolar RNA SNORA48. Lineage: Eukaryota; Metazoa; Chordata; Mammalia; Rodentia; Muridae. The record is from RefSeq and is a predicted model, not a curated record. The transcript has a single exon.
UGCCCCUUGGCAAUGGGCAAAGAGACAUCUUGUUGGUAAUGUUCUUAUUUCAGUCAGAGGCAGAGCAGAGGGAAGUCCUUUGUCCAUCCUAUCUUAAUCCUUGGCUUUGUGGCCAAAACCAUUUUAUGUCUAGGACUCAUGA